GCUCCGACGGGAAACCCAGCAGGGCGCAUCAGUCCCAGUAAAGUAAACAUGGCCCAAUAGGCGUCCACGGGUCACACACACGCACACACAAAACGGGGACAGUGACGGGUCAGUAGCUAGUCACCAGCAAGAGCAUCAAGUCAGCCAACCAGGACGUCCAGUUCUAGUCCCCGGGGCCAGCGCUGCUGUAUUCGAGGAGGAGCAGGUGGCUAUGAGGAGCAGGCUGUGGGGGCUGGCACCCCAAACUCACUUCCCUCCAUGCAGGUCGGGGAAAUGGCAGCUCUGAGAGGCAGCUUCACUUCUCUAAGGUCACACAGCAAGAAGGUUCUCCAGGUUUGCUUGGAAGAGCUCCCUCUCCACUGUGUGUGCAGGUCGGACCCUGGACCUGGCCCACUGUGAGGGCUCAAAAAUAUUGACUUUCCAAAUGCCAGGCCAAACCCAAGGUUGAAAUCCACAUCGGCUCAACCGCCUGGUACGAUCUCUGCACCACCCCCUCACUCUGUCCCGAAUAAAUAUUUGCUCUCUGGA
Peromyscus maniculatus bairdii (prairie deer mouse) is the source of this 528-nucleotide non-coding RNA. Lineage: Eukaryota; Metazoa; Chordata; Mammalia; Rodentia; Cricetidae. The record is from RefSeq and is a predicted model, not a curated record.